CCCUGCUGCUAUCGGGGUGGGACUAAAACAUGCUAGUCGAGCGUCUCCUAGCCAUGGUGGAGGCGCGGCGUACAACUCAGUAACACGUGGCUAACCUACCCUUGGGACGGGAACACCCCCGGGAAACCACGCGCAGACCUUGACCACAUAAACACAAAUUCUCAAAAAAUCCAAAAACCCCAUAACAUAAACAAACACUUCACUACACCGCCUUGCCGAUUUCUAAGCUGGCAAAGGCUAUCUUAAACUAACCAAAACCCACACACACAACUUUCUAAGAAUAAAAACUUAAGGCUCUGGCGUAGCCCAAAACUGGGGUUAAUUCUCGAUGGGUGAGGAGGCCUGGAAUGGUUCUUCACUGAAAGGGCGUUAGAGGCAUGCUCUCUAACGUUGCCCAAGGAUGGGGCCGCGGCCGAUCAGGUUGUUGGUGAGGUAACGGCUUACCAAGCCUAUAACCGGUACGGGCCGUGAGAGCGGAAGCCCGGAGAUGGGCACUGAGAUAAGGGCCCAGGCCCUACGGGGCGCAGCAGUUGCGAAAACUCCGCAAUGCACGAAAGCGUGACGGGGCUACCCCGAGUGCCGUCCGCUGAGGAUGGCUUUUCUCCGCUGUAAGGAGGCGGAGGAAUAAGGAGAGGGCAAGACUGGUGUCAGCCGCCGCGGUAAUACCAGCUCUCCGAGUGGUAGGGGUGAUUAUUGGGCUUAAAGCGUCCGUAGCCGGCCUGGCAAGUCUUCCGUUAAAUCCAGCAACCUAAUUGUUGGGCUGCGGGGGAUACUGUUAGGCUUGGGGGCGGGAGAGGCCGACGGUAUUCUCGGGGUAGGGGUGAAAUCUUAUAAUCCCGAGAGGACCACCAGUGGCGAAGGCUGUCGGCUAGCACGCGCCUGACGGUGAGGGACGAAAGCUGGGGGAGCGAACCGGAUUAGAUACCCGGGUAGUCCCUGCUGUAAACGAUGCGAGCUAGGUGUUGGGGCGGCUACGAGCCGCUUCAGUGCCGCAGCGAAGGCGUUAAGCUCGCCGCCUGGGGAGUACGGCCGCAAGGCUGAAACUUAAAGGAAUUGGCGGGGGAGCACCACAAGGCGUGAAGCUUGCGGUUC
This 1092-nucleotide ribosomal RNA is filed under the name uncultured crenarchaeote. RNAcentral's name for it is "bacterial SSU rRNA". It matches the Rfam family "Archaeal small subunit ribosomal RNA", at positions 21 to 903 of the family's 1478-position model. Lineage: Archaea; Thermoproteati; Thermoproteota. The record is from RNAcentral.